RNAcentral lists this ribosomal RNA (250 nucleotides) under uncultured bacterium. RNAcentral's name for it is "partial 16S ribosomal RNA". It matches the Rfam family "Bacterial small subunit ribosomal RNA", at positions 524 to 773 of the family's 1533-position model. The record is from RNAcentral.
UACGGAGGGGGCUAGCGUUGUUCGGAAUUACUGGGCGUAAAGCGCACGUAGGCGGACCUGCAAGUUGGGGGUGAAAUCCCGAGGCUCAACCUCGGAACUGCCUUCAAAACUGCUGGUCUUGAGUUCGAGAGAGGUGAGUGGAAUUCCGAGUGUAGAGGUGAAAUUCGUAGAUAUUCGGAGGAACACCAGUGGCGAAGGCGGCUCACUGGCUCGAUACUGACGCUGAGGUGCGAAAGCGUGGGGAGCAAAC